This 929-nucleotide long non-coding RNA is filed under the name Olea europaea (common olive). Its description in RNAcentral is "long non-coding RNA (OEUR_LNC009739)". The record is from RNAcentral. Lineage: Eukaryota; Viridiplantae; Streptophyta; Magnoliopsida; Lamiales; Oleaceae.
GAGUAAAAUAGGUAAGGAAUUUCAUCGAGCAUGUGGCGUGCAUCACUUUGUCACACAAUUCCAAGCACAUACGAGAUCCAAUCACCCAUCCAAUCAUAGUCCCUCAAACUAGAAACGACAUACUUUAAAAUGAAACAAACCACACAUCAAACGGAUUAACGGAAUGCAAGAACGAACGAAUUGAAAAUGGAGGAAAAACAUGUAAACCACAUAGUGCGAAGAAUGAAGAAAACGAACAAUGCAAUGGAAAUCGUGAUGCACAAUGCGUGAGAUAACUCCCAAUGAAAAAAGGAAUGUCGAAGCUUCUAUAAAUUAAGUAACAAUCAAGCAAGAAUACCAAAGUAAGCAAAACACACGAAAAAGAGCAAAACAAAACGAAAAAGAAAAAAAAUUACCGCAAUGUGAUGUUUAGCAAAGGAAUCCGGAAGAAAAAUGUUGUUAGGGGCCUCGAAGUUAAGUUAUCAAUUGAUGAAAAUUGAGAAAAAAAACACGAGAAGGAAGAAAGAAGAGAGAAAAAUCAAGAAAUUGCGCGAAAAAAAUGAAACUGGGUAUUUUAAAAAGUGACCUGUCGCUCGAACGAGGAUCUAGAGAGACUCGAGCGACAAGCAAACUGUUUUUAUCGCUCGAGCGAAGACCAGGCGAGACUCGAGUGAAACACCAAAUGUCAAAAACAGCACUAAAAAUUUGAAUUUUGAGAAAAAUAACAUAAUCUUCAAGAAAUGACGAAAUUAGCCCCAAAUCGUGAAAUUUCAAAAAUAAGUGAACUACGUAAUAGUGGAAAAUAAUCCAAAAAAAAUAGCAUGGAACCACAUAUGCAAUCAAAACCAACAAUAAGCAUAAAAUCACAAACCCGACCACCAGCACGUAGACAAAUCGUUAAUCCACACAUAGUUCAGAAUCCUGUGUAGUAAAGUGUAUACAGAACAUCA